GAUGUCCGAAUGGGGAAACCCAGUGCAAUCCGUUGCACUAUCGUUAAGUGAAUACAUAGCUUAACGAGGCGAACCAGGGGAACUGAAACAUCUAAGUACCCUGAGGAAAAGAAAUCAACCGAGAUUCCCCUAGUAGCGGCGAGCGAACGGGGAAGAGCCCAGAACCUGAAUCAGUUUGUGCAUUAGUGGAAGCGUCUGGAAAGUCGCGCGAUACCGGGUGAUAGCCCCGUACACGAAGGUGCACAGCUGUGAGUUCGAUGAGUAGGGCGGGACACGUGUUAUCCUGUCUGAAUAUGGGGGGACCAUCCUCCAAGGCUAAAUACUCCUGACUGACCGAUAGUGAACCAGUACCGUGAGGGAAAGGCGAAAAGAACCCCGGCGAGGGGAGUGAAAUAGAACCUGAAACCGUGUACGUACAAGCAGUGGGAGCAUCCUUCGGGGUGUGACUGCGUACCUUUUGUAUAAUGGGUCAGCGACUUAUAUUUUGUAGCAAGGUUAACCGAAUAGGGGAGCCGUAGGGAAACCGAGUCUUAACUGGGCGUCUAGUUGCAAGGUAUAGACCCGAAACCCGGUGAUCUAGCCAUGGGCAGGUUGAAGGUUGGGUAACACUAACUGGAGGACCGAACCGACUAAUGUUGAAAAAUUAGCGGAUGACUUGUGGCUGGGGGUGAAAGGCCAAUCAAACCGGGAGAUAGCUGGUUCUCCCCGAAAGCUAUUUAGGUAGCGCCUCGUGAACUCAUCUUCGGGGGUAGAGCACUGUUUCGGCUAGGGGGUCAUCCCGACUUACCAACCCGAUGCAAACUACGAAUACCGAAGAAUGUUAUCACGGGAGACACACGGCGGGUGCUAACGUCCGUCGUGAAGAGGGAAACAACCCAGACCGCCAGCUAAGGUCCCAAAGUCAUGGUUAAGUGGGAAACGAUGUGGGAAGGCAUAGACAGCCAGGAUGUUGGCUUAGAAGCAGCCAUCAUUUAAAGAAAGCGUAAUAGCUCACUGGUCGAGUCGGCCUGCGCGGAAGAUGUAACGGGGCUAAACCAUGCACCGAAGCUGCGGCAGCGACACUAAGUGUUGUUGGGUAGGGGAGCGUUCUGUAAGCCUGUGAAGGUGGCCUGUGAGGGCUGCUGGAGGUAUCAGAAGUGCGAAUGCUGACAUAAGUAACGAUAAAGCGGGUGAAAAGCCCGCUCGCCGGAAGACCAAGGGUUCCUGUCCAACGUUAAUCGGGGCAGGGUAAGUCGACCCCUAAGGCGAGGCCGAAAGGCGUAGUCGAUGGGAAACAGGUUAAUAUUCCUGUACUUGGUGUUAUUGCGAAGGGGGGACGGAGAAGGCUAGACCGGCCGGGCGACGGUUGUCCCGGUUUAAGCGUGUAGGUGUGAUGACCUGGCAAAUCCGGUUAUCUCUAACACUGAGGCGUGAUGACGAGGCACUACGGUGCUGAAGUGGUUAAUGCCCUGCUUCCAGGAAAAGCCUCUAAGCUCUAGAUAACACUGAAUCGUACCCCAAACCGACACAGGUGGUCAGGUAGAGAAUACCAAGGCGCUUGAGAGAACUCGGGUGAAGGAACUAGGCAAAAUGGUGCCGUAACUUCGGGAGAAGGCACGCUGGCAUGUAGGUGAAGUCCCUCGCGGAUGGAGCCGAAGCCAGUCGAAGAUACCAGCUGGCUGCAACUGUUUAAUAAAAACACAGCACUCUGCAAACACGAAAGUGGACGUAUAGGGUGUGACGCCUGCCCGGUGCUGGAAGGUUAAUUGAUGGGGUCAGCCGCAAGGCGAAGCUCUUGAUCGAAGCCCCAGUAAACGGCGGCCGUAACUAUAACGGUCCUAAGGUAGCGAAAUUCCUUGUCGGGUAAGUUCCGACCUGCACGAAUGGCGUAAUGAUGGCCAGGCUGUCUCCACCCGAGACUCAGUGAAAUUGAACUCGCUGUGAAGAUGCAGUGUACCCGCGGCAAGACGGAAAGACCCCGUGAACCUUUACUAUAGCUUGACACUGAACAUUGAACCUUGAUGUGUAGGAUAGGUGGGAGGCUUUGAAGUGUGGACGCCAGUCUGCAUGGAGCCGACCUUGAAAUACCACCCUUUAAUGUUUGAUGUUCUAACCUGGUCCCGUAAUCCGGGAUAGGGACAGUGUCUGGUGGGUAGUUUGACUGGGGCGGUCUCCUCCCAAAGAGUAACGGAGGAGCACGAAGGUUAGCUAAUCCUGGUCGGACAUCAGGAGGUUAGUGCAAAGGCAUAAGCUAGCUUG
This 2238-nucleotide ribosomal RNA is filed under the name Edwardsiella tarda ATCC 23685. RNAcentral describes it as "bacterial LSU rRNA". It matches the Rfam family "Bacterial large subunit ribosomal RNA", at positions 109 to 2371 of the family's 2925-position model. The record is from RNAcentral. Lineage: Bacteria; Pseudomonadati; Pseudomonadota; Gammaproteobacteria; Enterobacterales; Hafniaceae.